CGAGCUUCCGUUGAAUGACGUGCUUGCACUGAUUUCAACAAUGAAGCGAGUGGCGAACUGGUGAGUAACACGUGGGGAAUCUGCCCAGAAGCAGGGGAUAACACUUGGAAACAGGUGCUAAUACCGUAUAACAACAAAAUCCGCAUGGAUUUUGUUUGAAAGGUGGCUUCGGCUAUCACUUCUGGAUGAUCCCGCGGCGUAUUAGUUAGUUGGUGAGGUAAAGGCCCACCAAGACGAUGAUACGUAGCCGACCUGAGAGGGUAAUCGGCCACAUUGGGACUGAGACACGGCCCAAACUCCUACGGGAGGCAGCAGUAGGGAAUCUUCCACAAUGGACGAAAGUCUGAUGGAGCAAUGCCGCGUGAGUGAAGAAGGGUUUCGGCUCGUAAAACUCUGUUGUUAAAGAAGAACACCUUUGAGAGUAACUGUUCAAGGGUUGACGGUAUUUAACCAGAAAGCCACGGCUAACUACGUGCCAGCAGCCGCGGUAAUACGUAGGUGGCAAGCGUUGUCCGGAUUUAUUGGGCGUAAAGCGAGCGCAGGCGGUUUUUUAAGUCUGAUGUGAAAGCCUUCGGCUUAACCGGAGAAGUGCAUCGGAAACUGGGAGACUUGAGUGCAGAAGAGGACAGUGGAACUCCAUGUGUAGCGGUGGAAUGCGUAGAUAUAUGGAAGAACACCAGUGGCGAAGGCGGCUGUCUAGUCUGUAACUGACGCUGAGGCUCGAAAGCAUGGGUAGCGAACAGGAUUAGAUACCCUGGUAGUCCAUG
Molecule: ribosomal RNA, 767 nt
Filed under: Levilactobacillus brevis
Lineage: Bacteria; Bacillati; Bacillota; Bacilli; Lactobacillales; Lactobacillaceae
Description: bacterial SSU rRNA
Rfam family: Bacterial small subunit ribosomal RNA
Source: RNAcentral